Molecule: long non-coding RNA, 895 nt
Filed under: Equus asinus (donkey)
Lineage: Eukaryota; Metazoa; Chordata; Mammalia; Perissodactyla; Equidae
Description: lncRNA (ENSEASG00005038342.1)
Source: RNAcentral
CUGUGAAUUUAUAAUUGCUAACACUUCAACAUUGAACACGGCACAAACCCACCUCGAGCUGCUGACGAUUGAUUAUUUCAGACAGCUGGACUCAGGCUCGGUUUUCGUUCUGAAUAUUGACCAAGACUCUGCUUCCCGGAACACACAAACUGUCUAUUGGUAGCUUCUCUCUUAAUUCAGAGUCAAGUCUUAAAAUGUCUAAAAUGUAUACAAACACGCUAACAUACUUAUAUAUUUUAAUUAUCAUUGCUUCUGUGUUUCUGUAGCUAGAUGGGGAUAAAUUAUUCCAGCUGCACACGAUUUAGUCUUUCAUUUAGCUCGCUUUGUGAAUAAAGAAAUGCUUUGUAAGGGGUAGAAACCAGAGACGUGAUCCAGGAAUUGGUCUCCGACCUUGCAGUGUGCUAGAUGGAUGGAAAACAAAUAUUUUCCUUUGCCUCCUGGUGGUUAAGCCCUCCUUGCUGGUGAGGACAGGAAGACUGCUGUUUGGUGGCUAAAACGUGUGUUCAACAGUUUAUUCAACAGCCCUUUAUCCAGCUCCCUCACAUACCAGGCAUUAUUCUAGUUCUGGAGGCUGAGAAGUCCAAGACCAUGGCUCUGGAAGAUCCGUUGUCUGGUGACCGCCUGGGCUACCUCUUGUCUAGCAGUGCUUUCUUUAUGCAAAAUUACAUGUCUGAGGAAUAACGGAUUCGGAUUUUGUGGACAUAAUUCACUCGAAGAAAAUAUAGCUCUGAAGACUUAGGUGAAACAGCAUAACAUCGUGGUUCAAAGUUCAGUGUCUGGAGCUCACACUCCGGGUCUGCAUCCUGGUUCUACUACUCACAGUUGUGGGAUGUGGGGCAAGGUACUUAGCUCCAUGUUGCUUAGUUUCCGUGUCUAUAAGAUGAGAAGGGCAGUU